This 37-nucleotide transfer RNA is filed under the name Moniliophthora perniciosa FA553. RNAcentral's name for it is "tRNA-Pro". Lineage: Eukaryota; Fungi; Basidiomycota; Agaricomycetes; Agaricales; Marasmiaceae. The record is from RNAcentral.
ACCCAAAGCGAGAAUCAUACUACUAGACCAUCAGGCC